This 1205-nucleotide long non-coding RNA is filed under the name Macaca mulatta (Rhesus monkey). RNAcentral's name for it is "lncRNA (ENSMMUG00000064342.1)". Lineage: Eukaryota; Metazoa; Chordata; Mammalia; Primates; Cercopithecidae. The record is from RNAcentral.
CUUUCUACUUUUUUUUUUAAGUUUUUUUUUUGGCGAUUAUUGGUGCUUUGCAUUUCCAUAUGUAUUUUGGCAUCAGCUUUUUAAGUUCAGCAAAAUAUAUCUGCUAGGAUCUUGAUAUAGUUCUGUUAGAUCUACAAAACUGCAGUUAUUCAGAUCACUGUUCCCAGAGUUAACAUAUCAGUGCUUGCUGACUACUCUCAAGGUAUUAUUUUUAUAUUUAGUUUUAAUAAACUUAACUACUAUGUGUUUGAUAUGGAUUAUUUUUAGUUCAUAAUAGUUUGAAAUCGCUGAGUUUCUUAGGCUGCAUGUUUAUGUGUUUCUCAAAAAUUGGGACGUUUUUAAACUACUAUAUAUUCAAAUAUUUUAUCAGCUGAAAAACUAUUUUCUCCUUCUUUGAUUACAAUUACUUUAAUGUUAGACAUUUUUUUAAUGCCCAGGUCUUUUUUUUUUUCUUUUUUAAAUUCAUUUUGUUUCUGCCAUUUAAAUGGGAUAAUUUCUCUUGAUCUAUCUUCAAAUUAGCAUAUUCUUUUCUCUGUCAUUUCUAUUCUUCUAUUUAGCCCACUCAGUAUUUUAUUUUAGCUACUGGAUUUUUUAUUCUAAAGUUUUCUUUUGCUCUUUUUUAUAUCUUCUGUUUCUUGUCUAAGAUGUUCUAUUUUUUUCUAUUUUUUUCAAGCAUGUUUACAAUUGCAUGUUAGAAAAUUUUGAUGGCUGUUUUAUAAUUUUCGUUAAUAAUUCUAAUCUGUUUCACCUCUGGGUUAAUAUCUAUUGAUUGUGUUUUCUUGCUUAAGUUGAGAUUUUCCAGUUCUUGAUAUGAAUAGUAAAUUUAGAUUCGAUUCUGGAUUUUUUUAGUGUUACACAUGAGACUCUUUUCUGUUUUAAUAUUAUAUUUUAGCAGGUAUUCUGCAUGUUUUGGGUCAAUUUUGUGGAAUGUGUUUUUUCAGUUUGGUUUUGAAGUCUUGCAGUGCUAUUCUAAUCUUUUCUAUUUGGUGAUAUCCAGAGACUCACCUGAAACCUGGGCAUUAUACCAUGCUGUAGUCCUGCUCUCAAAAUUCUUGCAACUCCACAUACUUUAUCUACCAUUGAGAACAGGUCCAGUUUUCAGACUGUCAAACCACUCAGUGUGCUGGGAGGCUCUCUUACUGGGAUGGUGUACAGAGGAGGAACUUCUGUCCCCAAGUUCUAGGACACUCAGCUCCAUCUGCUAA